Molecule: ribosomal RNA, 370 nt
Filed under: uncultured eukaryote
Lineage: Eukaryota
Description: partial 18S ribosomal RNA
Rfam family: Eukaryotic small subunit ribosomal RNA
Source: RNAcentral
CAAUAGCGUAUAUUAAAGUUGUUGCAGUUAAAAAGCUCGUAGUUGGAUUUCUGGUCGGAAGCUCCUGUCCUCUGAUGAGCGUACAAGUGCGUCCUACCAUCCUUCUGUUAACCUUUAAGGCUUUCGCGGCUUUCUAGGGGCUCGGAUAUUUUACCUUGAGAAAAUUAGAGUGUUUCAGGCAGGCUAGCGCCGGAAUACAUUAGCAUGGAAUAAUGGAAUAGGACUUUUGCCUCUUCUGUUGGUCAUGAGGCUCGAGUAAUGAUUAAUAGGGAUAGUUGGGGGCAUUAGUACUUAACUGUCAGAGGUGAAAUUCUCGGAUUUGUUAAAGACUAACUUAUGCGAAAGCAUUUGCCAAGGAUGUUUUCAUUAA